ACGAUCGUAAUACACAAACUGCAGAAGACAGGAUUAGCGGAUCGUUCCGGAUGUACCACAACACCGCGUCAACAGACUGGGAUAUAUUUUUACAUUUACAGCGACUUGCAAAUGAGGAAACACAAGCAAAGCGAUAUAACGAGCGGAGAACAAUACAAGCAGCGCUACUAUACAAGAUCUUUAAGUUGAGAUCUAGAGAAGCAAAGUGCGCAGAGGAGGUGUUUGUUUUUUUUUACGAUAAUGUGGGGUUGGAAUUUUAGGGUUUCGGCGUACAGAUUUACUGUAUCUAACCCUUUGUUGUGUUACGUGGUGAGGAUAUAUUUUUGGGUGCAGAAUUCCAAGCGCAUACGGUCCUGGAUAUUCGCUCAGGAACAAAUUUUCCAUGUCUCCAAAAAAAAAAGAAAAAAAAAGGGACAUUUGAUUAAAGGCUAAUAACAAAAGAUGGAUGUGAGUGACAUACUUCAAAGCUUCAAAGCGAUUGUUAGGAUCGAUGUGGUGUGUUUUAACAGAGAGCAAAGGUGUUUGUCGGUGUGCUUUCAUCUUGUACUGGAUUCUGUAUAUGUGUGUGUGUGUGUGUGUGUGUGUGUGUGUGUGAGAGAGAGAGAGAGAGAGAGAGAGGAGGCAGACAUUAGAGAUGAGGGCCUUGCUAUCAUUAACCUUCCUCUCUGACCCAAUGCUCUGCCUGGCUGCUGAAGAGGCAGUACAUUUCUCACUACACACACUACAUCAAAGAUCUCACAGACACACACACACACACAUAAAAUGCAAAAAAAAAAAAAAAUGUAUGAACAGGAGUGUAAGGUCAGAUAUGAAGCCCGUGUGACAAAGAAAGCCCGAGUUUCAUCAACAUGAACAUACAUCCUUAGUAACUUCCUGUUCAGCGUCGUGGUGCGUUAAAUUAGGCUGCUAAUUUGGUUUAUAUUUUGGGAAAUAGAACUAGCUAAAUUUGUUCUAAAAUGUUCGCAGGUGAAAAUAAUAAUUGUUUGAGGAGGAUUAAAAAGAAAAAAGUCCCAAGUACAUCUCCAAAACAAAACAAAAACCUCGACGCCAAUGGACCUGGUGGAUGUCUCCACUAGCAGCAAGUCUAGCUGUUCUUGUUACUAAAUCGUAUGCCUAAAAUACCUCUAAAAGAACUCCAGCGUACGUAAAUACACACAGAUCUGUUUUACUGUUGCCAUUCAUUUUAUUUCUAUUACUUCUAUUGUAUAGGUAUUUAUGGAAAUUAUUCUUUUCUUUUUUCUUACUUUCUUUGAUCUUACUCAUCCUACUUGUGCUGCUGUGUCAAUCUGAAUUUCCCCUACGGGGGAUCAAUAAAGGUACAUCUUAUUUCAUCUUAUCUUAGAUACUACUUCAAACAGGACGGAAGCUAUUGAAGGAAAACAUAAUGGCUAAGGUAUAGAAGAGAAAAAAGAGGGAAACAAAA
Molecule: long non-coding RNA, 1423 nt
Organism: Ictalurus punctatus (channel catfish)
Lineage: Eukaryota; Metazoa; Chordata; Actinopteri; Siluriformes; Ictaluridae
Source: Ensembl